This 73-nucleotide transfer RNA is filed under the name Fusarium oxysporum f. sp. cubense race 1. Its description in RNAcentral is "tRNA-Tyr (GTA) (tRNA-Tyr-GTA-1-1)". Lineage: Eukaryota; Fungi; Ascomycota; Sordariomycetes; Hypocreales; Nectriaceae. The record is from RNAcentral.
CCCCGAAUAGCUCAGCUGGAAGAGCGUUCGGCAGUAAACCGAAAGGUCACUUGUUCGAUCCAGGUUUCGGGGA